This 253-nucleotide ribosomal RNA is filed under the name uncultured bacterium. Its description in RNAcentral is "partial 16S ribosomal RNA". It matches the Rfam family "Bacterial small subunit ribosomal RNA", at positions 524 to 776 of the family's 1533-position model. The record is from RNAcentral.
UACGUAGGACCCAAGCGUUGUCCGGAUUUACUGGGUAUAAAGGGUGCGCAGGCGGUCAGGUGCGUCAGAAGUGAAAUAUCCGGGCUUAACCCGGAGGGUGCUUUUGAUACGGCUUGACUUGAGUCCGAGAGAGGAUGAUGGAAUUCCUGGUGUAGCAGUGAAAUGCGUAGAUAUCAGGAGGAACACCGGUGGCGAAGGCGGUCAUCUGGCUCGGAACUGACGCUCAGGCACGAAAGCGCGGGGAUCAAACAGG